ACAGCCAUAUGAUAUUUAAACACCGGUUCACAUCCGAUCACCGAAGUUAAGCAACGUCGGCCCUGGUCAGUAACUAGAUAGGUGACAGCUUGGGAAUACCAGGUGCUGUAAG
Molecule: non-coding RNA, 112 nt
Organism: Acanthosepion pharaonis
Lineage: Eukaryota; Metazoa; Mollusca; Cephalopoda; Sepiida; Sepiidae
Source: the annotation of a GenBank genome assembly